ACAAAAGUCGCUCCUGAUCACAGCGGAGACCAGAUACACCCAAGAUGUUAUUAAACAGAAUGUCGAACAUCCCAUUGGAAGUACGUACGUUCCAGUUAAUGCUGACAAGGCAGAGUUCUCCACCAAACAAUAGGAUGGCUUCUGCUUCUGCUUUCCCACAAUUCUGGUCUAUAUUUUGGGGACUGAGGCAACACCUGCAGCUUCUGAUGCCACCUGUGUGGGAAUUAAGGGCCCUCAGGAGUGAGAAGCCACCAAUGCCAUGUGAUCCGGUCAUAGACAUUAUAUUGAGGACCCACUGUGUGAAGGCAAGUGCUGGUAAGGGCUGCUGACCUCAGCCCUCCGCCUCCAGUUAAAAUCUUAGUGAGAUAGUAAU
RNAcentral lists this long non-coding RNA (373 nucleotides) under Equus caballus (horse). RNAcentral describes it as "lncRNA (ENSECAG00000057592.1)". Lineage: Eukaryota; Metazoa; Chordata; Mammalia; Perissodactyla; Equidae. The record is from RNAcentral.